This 320-nucleotide ribosomal RNA is filed under the name uncultured bacterium. RNAcentral describes it as "bacterial SSU rRNA". It matches the Rfam family "Bacterial small subunit ribosomal RNA", at positions 470 to 789 of the family's 1533-position model. The record is from RNAcentral.
UGACGGUACCUGACUAAGAAGCCCCGGCUAACUACGUGCCAGCAGCCGCGGUAAUACGUAGGGGGCAAGCGUUAUCCGGAUUUACUGGGUGUAAAGGGAGCGCAGGCGGUACGGCAAGUCUGAUGUGAAAGCCCGGGGCUCAACCCCGGUACUGCAUUGGAAACUGUCGAACUAGAGUGUCGGAGGGGUAAGUGGAAUUCCUAGUGUAGCGGUGAAAUGCGUAGAUAUUAGGAGGAACACCAGUGGCGAAGGCGGCUUACUGGACGAUCACUGACGCUGAGGCUCGAAAGCGUGGGGAGCAAACAGGAUUAGAUACCCUG